AAGUCGUAACAAGGUUUCCGUAGGUGAACCUGCGGAAGGAUCAUUAGCGAAGCUCGGAAUGCGCGUUCGGUGCUGAUGCUGCCCAGCAAUGGGACUGUGCUCGCUCGGACGUGUGUCCCUUCUCUAUUCCACCCCAUUGUGAACCAAGUGUGCGAGCCGAAGAGAGAUCGGAGGCUCGCAUGCAAACCCUUAACAUACCCCAAUGAAGUAUCAGAAUGUACCUUGCGUUGACUCGCACAAAUACAACUUUCAACAACGGAUCUCUUGGCUCUC
RNAcentral lists this unclassified non-coding RNA (273 nucleotides) under fungal sp. RNAcentral's name for it is "partial internal transcribed spacer region". The stretch from base 1 to 46 matches the Rfam family "Eukaryotic small subunit ribosomal RNA", at positions 1786 to 1831 of the family's 1831-position model. The record is from RNAcentral. Lineage: Eukaryota; Fungi.